This 116-nucleotide ribosomal RNA is filed under the name Pteropus alecto (black flying fox). RNAcentral also lists the same sequence under 1 other name. The record is from RNAcentral. Lineage: Eukaryota; Metazoa; Chordata; Mammalia; Chiroptera; Pteropodidae.
GUCUGUGGCCACGCCACCCUGAACAAGCCCGAUGUCUGAUCUCGGAAGCUAAGCAGGGUCGGGCCUGGUUAGUACUUGGAUGGAAAACCACCUAGGAAGACCAGGUGCUGUAGGCA